This 495-nucleotide ribosomal RNA is filed under the name uncultured bacterium. RNAcentral describes it as "partial 16S ribosomal RNA". It matches the Rfam family "Bacterial small subunit ribosomal RNA", at positions 28 to 507 of the family's 1533-position model. The record is from RNAcentral.
GACGAACGCUGGCGGCGUGCCUAAUACAUGCAAGUAGAACGCUGAAGGAGGAGCUUGCUCUUCUGGAUGAGUUGCGAACGGGUGAGUAACGCGUAGGUAACCUGCCUGGUAGCGGGGGAUAACUAUUGGAAACGAUAGCUAAUACCGCAUAACAGUAGAUGUUGCAUGACAUUUACUUAAAAGGUGCAAUUGCAUCACUACCAGAUGGACCUGCGUUGUAUUAGCUAGUUGGUGGGGUAACGGCUCACCAAGGCGACGAUACAUAGCCGACCUGAGAGGGUGAUUGGCCACACUGGGACUGAGACACGGCCCAGACUCCUACGGGAGGCAGCAGUAGGGAAUCUUCGGCAAUGGACGGAAGUCUGACCGAGCAACGCCGCGUGAGUGAAGAAGGUUUUCGGAUCGUAAAGCUCUGUUGUAAGAGAAGAACGAGUGUGAGAGUGGAAAGUUCACACUGUGACGGUAUCUUACCAGAAAGGGACGGCUAACUACGUG